GACGAACGCUGGCGGCGUGCUUAACACAUGCAAGUCGAACGGAAAGGCCCUGCUUUUGUGGGGUGCUCGAGUGGCGAACGGGUGAGUAACACGUGAGUAACCUGCCCUUGACUUUGGGAUAACUUCAGGAAACUGGGGCUAAUACCGGAUAGGAGCUCCUGCUGCAUGGUGGGGGUUGGAAAGUUUCGGCGGUUGGGGAUGGACUCGCGGCUUAUCAGCUUGUUGGUGGGGUAGUGGCUUACCAAGGCUUUGACGGGUAGCCGGCCUGAGAGGGUGACCGGCCACAUUGGGACUGAGAUACGGCCCAGACUCCUACGGGAGGCAGCAGUGGGGAAUAUUGCACAAUGGGCGGAAGCCUGAUGCAGCAACGCCGCGUGCGGGAUGACGGCCUUCGGGUUGUAAACCGCUUUCGCCUGUGACGAAGUGUGAGUGACGGUAAUGGUAGAAGCACCGGCUAACUACGUG
This 465-nucleotide ribosomal RNA is filed under the name uncultured bacterium. RNAcentral describes it as "partial 16S ribosomal RNA". It matches the Rfam family "Bacterial small subunit ribosomal RNA", at positions 28 to 507 of the family's 1533-position model. The record is from RNAcentral.